UACAGAGGGUGCAAGCGUUAAUCGGAAUUACUGGGCGUAAAGGGCUCGUAGGCGGCCAACUAAGUCAGACGUGAAAUCCCUCGGCUUAACCGGGGAACUGCGUCUGAUACUGGAUGGCUUGAAUCCGGGAGAGGGAUGCGGAAUUCCAGGUGUAGCGGUGAAAUGCGUAGAUAUCUGGAGGAACACCGGUGGCGAAGGCGGCAUCCUGGACCGGCAUUGACGCUGAGGCGCGAAAGCCAGGGGAGCAAACGGG
This 253-nucleotide ribosomal RNA is filed under the name uncultured bacterium. Its description in RNAcentral is "partial 16S ribosomal RNA". It matches the Rfam family "Bacterial small subunit ribosomal RNA", at positions 524 to 776 of the family's 1533-position model. The record is from RNAcentral.